RNAcentral lists this ribosomal RNA (253 nucleotides) under uncultured bacterium. RNAcentral describes it as "partial 16S ribosomal RNA". It matches the Rfam family "Bacterial small subunit ribosomal RNA", at positions 524 to 776 of the family's 1533-position model. The record is from RNAcentral.
CACGUAGGGGGCGAGCGUUGUCCGGAUUCAUUGGGCGUAAAGGGCGCGCAGGCGGCCCGGAAAGUCGGAUGUGAAAACUCGAGGCUCAACCUCGAGCGUGCACCCGAUACUGCCGGGCUUGAGGCAGGUAGGGGAGAUCGGAAUUCCUGGUGUAGCGGUGAAAUGCGCAGAUAUCAGGAGGAACACCGGUGGCGAAGGCGGCUAUCUGGACGAUGACUGACGCUGAGACGCGAAAGCGUGGGGAGCAAACAGG